RNAcentral lists this transfer RNA (71 nucleotides) under Solea ovata (ovate sole). RNAcentral describes it as "tRNA-Pro". It matches the Rfam family "tRNA". From Rfam's summary of the family: Transfer RNA (tRNA) molecules are approximately 80 nucleotides in length. Their secondary structure includes four short double-helical elements and three loops (D, anti-codon, and T loops). Further hydrogen bonds mediate the characteristic L-shaped molecular structure. tRNAs have two regions of fundamental functional importance: the anti-codon, which is responsible for specific mRNA codon recognition, and the 3' end, to which the tRNAs corresponding amino acid is attached (by aminoacyl-tRNA synthetases). tRNAs cope with the degeneracy of the genetic code in two manners: having more than one tRNA (with a specific anti-codon) for a particular amino acid; and 'wobble' base-pairing, i.e. permitting non-standard base-pairing at the 3rd anti-codon position. Lineage: Eukaryota; Metazoa; Chordata; Actinopteri; Pleuronectiformes; Soleidae. The record is from RNAcentral.
CAGAAGAUAGUUUAACGAGAGAAUCCUAGCUUUGGGGGCUAGGGGUAGGGGUUCAAGCCCCCUUUUUCUGA